Long non-coding RNA from Lampris incognitus (smalleye Pacific opah), 3533 nucleotides. RefSeq lists it as uncharacterized. NCBI's taxonomy places the organism in Eukaryota, Metazoa, Chordata, Actinopteri, Lampriformes, Lampridae. The record is from RefSeq and is a predicted model, not a curated record. The transcript is spliced from 5 exons.
AAAGUGAGUUUUAUUCAAUCAAAUUUUCCAUGCUGGUAUAACUGACACGUGUGUUGAAACAGAUCCUAUUCAUUAUUUGCAUGGGGUCAUGUCUAAAUGAUGCUGGUACAUGUUCUUCAGCUUUUUCACAGCUUGCAAUGGAAUCGAUUAAAAAUAUUGUUCUUCAGUAGAGAAAGCUGCUUGUUAUUUCAAAACUAUGUUUCCCCCGAUAUCUUAAAAAAAAUCUUUUAAAUAAGGCAGACACUUCGGGUUGAACUCUCACCAAACGGCGUGGCUAGGAACAUCCAAUUCUCGAAUCAACAAUGCAGCAAAAACCGACACAUGCUAAGGAUUCAUAAAAACAAAACAACAACGGCAGGAUUGUACAUCCUUGGCUCAACCCACAUCCAUGAGGCACCCUGUUUUACAAAAAAACAAACUUCUCGUCCUCGGUGUUAACGUUACACCCGUGGUGUAUGAUCCCUCUGUACAAGUGUCCCCUAGUUACUUUCAAUGAACUACAAGCCAUUAUGUGAAGCACUGGCUGCUGCUGUAUUUCGGCAUCUAACCUCACUCAUCCUUCUCCUUAUGGGUCUAGGAAAGGAGAGGGGUGGGAGCAAAUGACAUUCCAUACAGGAGUAGAUACGAGUGAAAGAUGGCGACACCGUUGACCUUAUUAGUUUUUGCAGAAACACGUCAACAACAAUACAAAACAAAGUAGUAAACUCAUUUAGGUAGAGCAGAAAGAACGGGCUUUUUUAAAAAAAUAUUUAACGAACUAACUCCUUGUGGAAACGUCGACCUUUUGAAUGUACCAGCAAACUUAUAUAUAACUGCCGAUAAUGGAAAAAACACAAUUUUACUGGAUCUGUGAUUAGACGGUAGGCAGCAUUUAACGGGACAACGCUGCCUUUGUCUUUGCAACGGUUUGAAUCUGCAGAGUGCAUCAAACACAAAGAGCUGCCAAACACGUCAAACUAUUAAACGUCCAGUUCUAUGUGUCUUACUUCAUUGGAACUGUACCAAAAAUAAUGAAAAACCGGAGAAAAAAAAGAGAAGUUAAGACCUAUGAGAAUAGUACAAUUCUAAAUGUCAGAACUGUUUAGGGAAUAUCACAAAAUUAGCUGCACAAUACACUAAAUCAAACUGACCUACUGUUUUUUUCUGACACACAAAAACGGUAUCAACCAAGAACGGAAAAACAAAUUCAGUAAAGUCCAUAAAUGCACCUGGGAGAGAACGGGAUACUUGUGAGUUCCCUGUGUAAAUGCAAUCGCUAAGACUUCAGUUUGUUCAGCUGUUACAUCCGGAACAAACCGCCCCUGCACGUUGCUCCUCAACUCCUUCGGAUUUUGUUCACGAUGCUUUUGUCACUACUCCACCGGCAAGUCGAUUUAAAAACAUUCAGUCUCCUGGGCAGGGUCCUGGGGAGGGUCACACACAUUUAUUUGCACGAGAGAGAUGAGGACUACCACGCUAAGCUUUAGUGGGCAACGUACUGGGGGCACUUGGGGAUCGGAGUGCUUUUGCCCAAGGGCACUUUGAAAGCAGCUGGGCACUUUCUGCACUCAACGUUUUCAGAAUUGGCCUUAGGUUCAAAAGUGCCAAACUACUGAUCACAAACUCUCAGCGACGGGCCGCUGCCGCCGCCCCCACGUCUGAGAAACUCGUCUAAUAAAUGCUUCAAGAGUUUGGUUAUGAAUACAAGAGAUAGUGCUUUGCCAGUGAUGUUACCAGCAAUGAUUAAACGGACAAAACAAUGAAAUAAAACAUGACUCCAAUUGCUUGGGAGGAGAGAAAAGAAGGAUUUUUGUUUGUUGCAAAUUUGAGUUCUUAGUAAGCGGUGAACCUGUCUCGAGACAGUAGCCAAGGCAUAUUUAUCAAUCAUUUCCAUCCAUCCAUUAUCCAAACCGCUUAUCCUGCUCUCAGGGUCACGGGGGAUGCUGGAGCCUCUCCCAGCAGUCAUUGGGCGGCAGGCGGGGAGACACCCUGGACAGGCCGCCAGGCCAUCACAGGGCCGACACACACACACACACCUACGGACAAUUUAGUAUGGCUGAUUCACCUGACCUACUCGUCUUUGGACUGUGGGAGGAAACCCAUGUGGACAUGGGGAGAACAUGCAAACUCCACACAGAGGACGACCCGGGGCGACCCUCAAGGUUGGACUACCCCAGGGCUCGAACCCAGGACCUUCUUGCUGUCAUUGUUCAAUCAUUUCCAAUAAAACAUUAAAACUUAUCAAGUCCUUCAUUGACUAAAGCAGGCAGGCAGGGAUAGCCGACCCGCCUGUGAUAUGUACUGUACUGUCCACUAUGAUGUCAUAUGCUCUAAUCAGCUUACACAUGUCACUUCGUUUAUUCGGCCACUGGUGCUGCGUACAGCCCACUUUGCUAGCUGGGGUAUUUGAAGAGCAAAUAGAAAAGCCUCCGACAUAAGCAGUGAAACAAUUCUGGGCCAAUUUCCCGCCUAGAGAGACAGAAACAUGGCGGACAGUGCAUAUUUAAAGACUAGAGGGAAGGAUGAGUAUUUUUAAAGUUUUAUUUGGGGGGGGGGUCAAUCUAGAAACAGGCUUGCAGCUCUGUUUCUUCAUUUGUAAAAUCCGGGCUGCAGUAAAACCCAGUCGUGUUGAAAUAAGGGGCCAGCCGCCCCUUUUUAAGGACCCUUUCGCUCGACAACAAACUCAAAAAUUGUGCUUCGCUGACGCAAUACAUUCUUCAUCAAAAAAAACGUUUAAAACCCACGUUUGUCUAAACUGUCCGUACAAACUCCAAAAGUCGAAGACGUCUAAACUACUUCUGAGGAAAAUACUUUGGAUCAGUUCUCCCAACCCCUGAACUCGCACUACAGGAAUAAAUAUGAUCUGGCAUUAAAUGUACAGGUGGACUCGUCCAGCAUCUUCCUGCCGUGCUUCACCCGAGGCCUCGGAGUGCUUGGCUGGGUGGAGGUACUUAGCAAAGGCUCCUCUCUGCGGUGUCUCGGUGCGGACUCUGCUCCACAGAUGGUGGCUUCUGCUGGGGGAGUGCUGGGCCUUUGCUCAUCCUCAGAGAAGCAGGGCUCCUCUUGGGAUGCUGGUCCAGGUCUGACUGCUGGUGUCAUCUGAGGGAAGAGGACAGAGAGAGAGAGGAGGAAGGAGCUGAGGUAGAGGAGGAAAGCUGAAGGCAAAAGAAGGAAACUGGAGCACCCGGAGGAAACCCACACAGACACUGGGAGAACAUGCAAACUUCACACAGAAAGGACCUGGGAUGGUCUGAGGUUCAAACCCAGGACCUUCUUACUGUGAGGCGACAGCGCUAGCCACUGGGCCACCGUGCCACCCACGGAACACUAAAAGACCACAAAAUCUGAGCUUCUGAUGUUUUCUGAGCUCGACCGCAGCCCAACGCACAAGUUGAAAGCAGCUAGCAGCAAGUUCGAAUCCCUGGUGAACAAGCUUGUAAAAGACCUUUACCAGCAUGGAGUAAAAGCCAGCCUCAGCUGUGGGAAGGUCUGGACACGACAGCACGGGUGACCCUGUUUCAUUCUGAAUGUGUGACGAGGAAUACUCAGGCACA